UAGGGAAUAUUGGACAAUGGGUGCAAGCCUGAUCCAGCCAUGCCGCGUGCAGGAAGAAGGCCUUCUGGGUUGUAAACUGCUUUUUGCCAGGGGAUAAAAUUUCUUUGCGAAGAAAAUUGAAGGUACCUGGUGAAUAAGCCACGGCUAACUACGUGCCAGCAGCCGCGGUAAUACGUAGGUGGCAAGCGUUGUCCGGAUUUAUUGGGUUUAAAGGGUGCGUAGGCGGUUCCAUAAGUCAGUGGUGAAAUACAAUAGCUUAACUAUUGAGGUGCCAUUGAUACUGCGGAACUUGAGUACAGACGAGGUAGGCGGAAUUGACGGUGUAGCGGUGAAAUGCUUAGAUAUCGUCAAGAACACCGAUAGCGAAGGCAGCUUACUAGACUGUAACUGACGCUGAGGCACGAAAGUGUGGGGAUCAAACAGGAUUAGAUACCCACGUAGUCCCUGAGCGGGCUGGCAAGGCGCAU
Molecule: ribosomal RNA, 467 nt
Filed under: uncultured bacterium
Lineage: Bacteria
Description: bacterial SSU rRNA
Rfam family: Bacterial small subunit ribosomal RNA
Source: RNAcentral